GAUGAACGCUGGCGGCGCGCCUAACACAUGCAAGUCGAACGGCACCCACCUCCGGGUGGAAGCGAGUGGCGAACGGCUGAGUAACACGUGGAGAACCUGCCCCCUCCCCCGGGAUAGCCGCCCGAAAGGACGGGUAAUACCGGAUAAGCCCACGGCCCGGCAUCGGGUUGAGGGAAAAGGAUUUAUUCGCUUCAGGAUGGACUCGCGUCCAAUUAGCUAGUUGGUGAGGUAACGGCCCACCAAGGCGACGAUCGGUAGCCGGACUGAGAGGUUGAACGGCCACAUUGGGACUGAGACACGGCCCAG
This 306-nucleotide ribosomal RNA is filed under the name uncultured bacterium. RNAcentral's name for it is "bacterial SSU rRNA". It matches the Rfam family "Bacterial small subunit ribosomal RNA", at positions 28 to 334 of the family's 1533-position model. The record is from RNAcentral.